CCUACGGGAGGCAGCAGUGAGGAAUAUUGGUCAAUGGACGAGAGUCUGAACCAGCCAAGUAGCGUGAAGGAUGACUGCCCUAUGGGUUGUAAACUUCUUUUAUAUGGGAAUAAAACGUUCCACGUGUGGGAUUUUGUAUGUACCAUAUGAAUAAGGGUCGGCUAACUCCGUGCCAGCAGCCGCGGUAAUACGGAGGGUCCGAGCGUUAUCCGGAUUUAUUGGGUUUAAAGGGAGCGUAGGUGGAGUGUUAAGUCAGUUGUGAAAGUUUGCGGCUCAACCGUAAAAUUGCAGUUGAAACUGGCAGUCUUGAGUACAGUAGAGGUGGGCGGAAUUCGUGGUGUAGCGGUGAAAUGCUUAGAUAUCACGAAGAACUCCGAUUGCGAAGGCAGUUCACUGGACUGCAACUGACACUGAGGCUCGAAAGUGUGGGUAUCAAACAGGAUUAGAUACCCCAGUAGUC
RNAcentral lists this ribosomal RNA (460 nucleotides) under uncultured bacterium. Its description in RNAcentral is "partial 16S ribosomal RNA". It matches the Rfam family "Bacterial small subunit ribosomal RNA", at positions 338 to 795 of the family's 1533-position model. The record is from RNAcentral.